This 336-nucleotide ribosomal RNA is filed under the name Triticum aestivum (bread wheat). Its description in RNAcentral is "partial small subunit ribosomal RNA". The record is from RNAcentral. Lineage: Eukaryota; Viridiplantae; Streptophyta; Magnoliopsida; Poales; Poaceae.
AUGUGCACGGCGGCCUUGUCCUGCUCGACGACGGCGGCGACGGACGCUAGCGCUCCUCGUCGCCAUCGACCUGCAAGGAGGAGCGCCGUCUUGGACGCUGCUAUCCCUGACGCUGCUGGUGUUCCGUCGCUGCUACGUGUUCCCCGUCACCUGCUCCCAGGUCGCCCCCGAAGUCGAGCUACCCCCGCUCGACCUGCAAGAUGUACUGUGGCCAAGAACUGCUCUACCGCAGGAGUAGAUUGGAAAGGCAAGGUGCAAGGACAGAUUGGAAAGGCUGUUGCUGCUCCUGAACGAUGCGGCUACUGCUGCCACUGCCUCUCAUCUAUUCGGGCAUGA